RNAcentral lists this ribosomal RNA (838 nucleotides) under Tetraploa dashaoensis. Its description in RNAcentral is "Tetraploa sp. CFL-2021a partial large subunit ribosomal RNA". It matches the Rfam family "Eukaryotic large subunit ribosomal RNA", at positions 90 to 938 of the family's 3401-position model. The record is from RNAcentral. Lineage: Eukaryota; Fungi; Ascomycota; Dothideomycetes; Pleosporales; Tetraplosphaeriaceae.
CGAGUGAAGCGGCAACAGCUCAAAUUUGAAAUCUGGCCCCCUGCGGGGUCCGAGUUGUAAUUUGCAGAGGGUGCUUUGGCGUCGGCGCCAGCCUAAGUUCCUUGGAACAGGACGUCACAGAGGGUGAGAAUCCCGUACGUGGCCGGCUGCCUUCGCCGUGUAAAGCCCCUUCGACGAGUCGAGUUGUUUGGGAAUGCAGCUCUAAAUGGGAGGUAAAUUCCUUCUAAAGCUAAAUACUGGCCAGAGACCGAUAGCGCACAAGUAGAGUGAUCGAAAGAUGAAAAGCACUUUGGAAAGAGAGUCAAAAAGCACGUGAAAUUGUUGAAAGGGAAGCGCUUGCAGCCAGACUUGCCUGUAGUUGCUCAUCCGGGCCCCGGCCCGGUGCACUCUUCUGCGGGCAGGCCAGCAUCAGUUUGGGCGGCCGGACAAAGGCCCCGGGAACGUAGCUCUCUCCGGGGAGUGUUAUAGCCCGGGGCGGAAUGCGGCCAGCCCGGACUGAGGUCCGCGCAUCUGCCAGGAUGCUGGCGUAAUGGCUGUAAGCGGCCCGUCUUGAAACACGGACCAAGGAGUCUAACAUCUAUGCGAGUGUUUGGGUGUCAAGCCCGGGCGCGCAAUGAAAGUGAACGCAGGUGGGACACCUCCCCCCGGGGGGGCUGCACCAUCGACCGAUCCUGAUGUCUUCGGAUGGAUUUGAGUAAGAGCAUAGCUGUUGGGACCCGAAAGAUGGUGAACUAUGCCUGAAUAGGGUGAAGCCAGAGGAAACUCUGGUGGAGGCUCGCAGCGGUUCUGACGUGCAAAUCGAUCGUCAAAUUUGGGCAUAGGGCGAAAGACUAAUCGA